RNAcentral lists this ribosomal RNA (245 nucleotides) under uncultured bacterium. RNAcentral's name for it is "partial 16S ribosomal RNA". It matches the Rfam family "Bacterial small subunit ribosomal RNA", at positions 791 to 1035 of the family's 1533-position model. The record is from RNAcentral.
UAGUCCACGCCGUAAACGAUGAGUGUUAGAUGUCCGAGGUAAACUUGGGUGUCCUAAGCUAACGCGAUAAACACUCCGCCUGGGGAGUACGUACGCAAGUAUGAAACUCAAAGGAAUUGACGGGGACCCGCACAAGCAGCGGAGCAUGUGGUUUAAUUCGAUGCAACGCGAAGAACCUUACCAGGGCUUGACAUAAAAGUGACGAGGGAUAGAGAUAUACCUUUUCUCUUCGGAGACAGUUUUAC